GCCUGGGUGGCUCAGUCGGUUGGGCGUCUGACUUCGGCUCAGGUCAUGGUCUCAUGGGUCGUGAGUUCAAGCCCCACAUCAAGCU
Molecule: transfer RNA, 85 nt
Filed under: Felis catus (domestic cat)
Lineage: Eukaryota; Metazoa; Chordata; Mammalia; Carnivora; Felidae
Rfam family: tRNA
About the family: Transfer RNA (tRNA) molecules are approximately 80 nucleotides in length. Their secondary structure includes four short double-helical elements and three loops (D, anti-codon, and T loops). Further hydrogen bonds mediate the characteristic L-shaped molecular structure. tRNAs have two regions of fundamental functional importance: the anti-codon, which is responsible for specific mRNA codon recognition, and the 3' end, to which the tRNAs corresponding amino acid is attached (by aminoacyl-tRNA synthetases). tRNAs cope with the degeneracy of the genetic code in two manners: having more than one tRNA (with a specific anti-codon) for a particular amino acid; and 'wobble' base-pairing, i.e. permitting non-standard base-pairing at the 3rd anti-codon position.
Source: Rfam by way of RNAcentral